UGCCGAGUCUCCUCUGACAAUGGGCAGCGGCUCCUGGACAUGAUAGAAACCCUGAAAAUGGAGCACCAUUUGGAAGCACACAAGAACGGCCAUGCCAAUGGGCACCUCAACAUUGGCGUAGACAUCCCCACCCCCGACGGCAGCUUCAGCAUCAAGAUUAAACCCAACGGGAUGCCAAAUGGGUAUAGGAAAGAGAUGAUAAAGAUCCCCAUGCCAGAACUGGAGCGCUCUCAGUACCCCAUGGAGUGGGGCAAGACUUUUCUGGCCUUUCUUUAUGCACUUUCCUGUUUCGUUCUCACCACAGUGAUGAUCUCGGUCGUCCACGAACGAGUACCUCCUAAGGAGGUGCAGCCUCCACUACCGGACACAUUUUUUGACCAUUUUAACCGGGUGCAGUGGGCCUUUUCUAUUUGUGAAAUUAAUGGCAUGAUCCUUGUAGGACUCUGGUUAAUUCAGUGGCUGCUCUUAAAAUACAAAAUUGGACUUUCAAGCCACUGACUAGGAAAAAUUCCUGGGAAAUCUCUGCAUUUGUGUCAGACUUCACUGCAAAACAGAAGGAAGAAUCCUGCUCAAAAAUGAGGUGAAUUAAUACUUGGGCGCUCAGGAACCCUGGACAGCUACAUGAGGUGUUUAAAAACUGCCCUGACCAUCUUGCCAAACAAGUCUCUGCUCAUGAGGCCCCACAGGAUGAACGAGCCGAGGCAGGACAGUGUCCUGCCCUGUCGGAACAGUGACUGCUGACCUGCCAAGAGAGAGCUGGGGACUGCCUGCUGUCUGCCAGUACAAUGAAGGAAGUGGUUUAUUGGUCACCCAAGAAGGUGGCAGACUGGCUGCUGGAGAAUGCUAUGCCAGAAUACUGUGAGCCUCUGGAGCAUUUCACAGGCCAGGACUUGAUCAACCUAACCCAAGAGGAUUUCAAAAAACCCCCCUUG
This 932-nucleotide small RNA is filed under the name Homo sapiens (human). RNAcentral's name for it is "partial Hum_SGMS1_77b7". The record is from RNAcentral. Lineage: Eukaryota; Metazoa; Chordata; Mammalia; Primates; Hominidae.